AAGGAACUCUCACUGCGCCCUUGUUUGGACAAGACGAGGAGGCGCACUCAGAGUCAGAGACCCCGGGGCAGAGACAGGGGCAAGAAGAAGGGGCCACCGAGACCCCAAGAGAGUCAGGGAGACAGACGCACCAAACGACCGACACAACCAGGGACAGGGAGGAAAAGUUGCCUAUCUGUUGGGUCAGAUUUCUGAAGACUGAUGAGGCCCAUUUUCUGACAAACGGCAAGAGUUUAGAAAGUACCAGUGACGUGCCUGAUAGAAUCUCACCACAAGAUGGAAGCCAACUCGUCAGAAGCCUGGAAAGCCCACCCAGCGUGGGACCUCUGUGGGUCCAGGAUCUUGGAAUGGUAUCCCAUGGUUCAAUCUUCUGGAUUCAACCACAUAAAUUUACCCCACCCAUGUCGUGGACCCAAGCUUCCUACCAUGUAUACUUAGCUUAAAUGCAAGAUAGUACUAUUUUGUUCAUCUUGAUUGGAGUGAGAAAUGAAUAGGUCCAUGCACAUAUAUUUCUUUUACCACAACAAGAUGAUGAAGAAAUAAAUCCAUAAUAUCGAUACUUUUGUAUAAGUUGUGUUUACAGUUGCGGUAAGAAAUUUUAUAAUUGUUGAUUUGCUUUAUAUAAUUUCUGCUUGCUUUUUAUGAUAUUUAAAACAAAAUCUAAGCAACAAAUUUUAUGUCUGAUUAGAUUUACAGAAGCUGCUUAAGUGCUUAGGGAUAAUUUGUUCAUCAUAUUUGUAAGUCUCCCUUGUUAGGUGUUUGAAGUGUUUGAAUUGGCUAAAUUAAAUUUGUAAUUGUAGUUUGAAAUAUCUAAAGGAAUUUUCUUAAUUAAGUGUUUAAAUGAUGUUAAAAGUUUGUGGGAAUUUAAUCUAUCAAAUUUAUGAGUUAAUUGAAUAUGAAUCAAUGAACAAGUAAAUGUGAUCUUGCUUUUAUAUAAAAACUACUAAGUUCAUAAAUAAAAUACAAAGAUCCAUAAGUUGAGAGGAAAAGCAAAAGAGCCAGAUUCUAAGAUCUAUAACUUAAAAAAAUUAAAUAUUGAUUGAAAUGUAAGUCAUUGCAAUUAUCCCCACUAGCUGAAAUCUCACAUCUGAGUGCUUACACACAAAACAAAA
This is a long non-coding RNA of Homo sapiens (human), 1112 nucleotides long. Ensembl annotates it as long intergenic non-protein coding RNA 1778. The record is from Ensembl. Lineage: Eukaryota; Metazoa; Chordata; Mammalia; Primates; Hominidae.